RNAcentral lists this ribosomal RNA (253 nucleotides) under uncultured bacterium. RNAcentral's name for it is "partial 16S ribosomal RNA". It matches the Rfam family "Bacterial small subunit ribosomal RNA", at positions 524 to 776 of the family's 1533-position model. The record is from RNAcentral.
UACGAAGGGAGCUAGCGUUGUUCGGAAUCACUGGGCGUAAAGCGCACGUAGGCGGAUGUGUCAGUCAGGGGUGAAAUCCCGGAGCUCAACUUCGGAACUGCCUUUGAUACAGCACGUCUUGAGUCCGAUAGAGGUGGGUGGAAUUCCUAGUGUAGAGGUGAAAUGCGUAGAUAUCGGGAGGAACACCAGUGGCGAAGGCGACUACCUGGCCUGUUCUUGACGCUGAGGCGCGAAAGCUAGGGGAGCAAACGGG